UCAAGUGACUAAGUGCAUGUGGCGGAUGCCUUGGCGAUCACAGGCGAAGAAAGACGCGGCAGCCUGCGAAAAGCUGCGGGGAGCUGGCAAACGAGCUUUGAUCCGCAGAUAUCUGAAUGGGGGAACCCACACCGCAAGGUGUAUCCGUGACUGAAUACAUAGGUUACGGAGGCGAACGAGGAGAACUGAAACAUCUAAGUAUCCUCAGGAAAAGAAAUCAACCGAGAUUCCGGCAGUAGCGGCGAGCGAACCCGGAGGAGCCUAGCUUUUGAUAGUACGAACUUUAGCCGAAAGGUCCUGGAAAGGCCUGCUAUAGUGGGUGAUAGCCCCGUAGGCGAAAGAGUUCGUAUGGUACUAAGGAAGCGAGAAGUAGAGCGGGACACGUGGAAUCCUGUUCGAAGAUGGGGGGACCAUCCUCCAAGGCUAAAUACUCGUGAUCGACCGAUAGUGAACCAGUACCGUGAGGGAAAGGCGAAAAGAACCCCGGGAGGGGAGUGAAAUAGAACCUGAAACCGCAUGCAUACAAACAGUAGGAGCCUCACCAGAGGUGACUGCGUACCUUUUGCAUAAUGGGUCAGCGACUUACAUUCUGUGGCGAGCUUAACCGAAUAGGGGAGGCGCAGCGAAAGCGAGUUCGAAAUGAGCGUCCAGUCGCAGGGUGUAGACCCGAAACCAGAUGAGCUAUCCAUGGCCAGGUUGAAGGUGUGGUAACACACACUGGAGGACCGAACCGACUAGUGUUGCAAAAUUAGCGGAUGAGCUGUGGAUAGGGGUGAAAGGCCAAACAAAUCUGGAGAUAGCUGGUUCUCCCCGAAAACUAUUGAGGUAGUGCCUCGUGUGUCGCUCCAGGGGGUAGAGCACUGUUUUGGCUAGGGGGACAUGGAGUCUUACCAAACCAAGGCAAACUCCGAAUACCUGGAAGCGUAAGCACGGGAGACAGAGCACCGGGUGCUAACGUCCGGACUCAAAAGGGAAACAACCCAGACCGCCGGCUAAGGUCCCCAAUAACAGCUAAGUGGAAAACGAAGUGGAAAGGCCGUGACAACCAGGAAGUUGGCUUAGAAGCAGCCAUCCUUCAAAGAAAGCGUAAUAGCUCACUGGUCGAGUCCUUCUGCGCGGAAGAUGUAACGGGGCUAAGCUGUUAACCGAAGCCGCGGAUGCACUGAUUAUUCAGUGCGUGGUAGGGGAGCGUUCUGUAAGUCUGCGAAGGCGGUUCGAGAGGACUGCUGGAGAUAUCAGAAGUGCGAAUGCUGACAUGAGUAACGUUAAAGCAGGUGAAAAGCCUGCUCGCCGUAAGCCCAAGGAUUCCUGCUCUACGUUCAUCGGAGCAGGGUGAGUCGGCUCCUAAGGUCAGGCCGAAAGGCGUAGCCGAUGGGAAUCAGGUUAAUAUUCCUGAACCUGCGUCAGAUGCGAUGGGGGGACGGAGCAUGAAAGAUCAUCCGGGUGUUGGAUGUCCCGGUUGACGAGCGUAGGAGGUCUGCAGGCAAAUCCGCAGACGCAUCUCCAAGGCGAAGUCACGUGCCGCCACGGCGGCGAAGUGAUCGGAAGUGCUUCCAAGAAAAGCCUCUAAGCACCAGUCUGACGCGGACCGUACCGCAAACCGACACUGGUGGGCGAGCUGAAUAUGCUCAGGCGCUUGAGAGAACUCGGGAGAAGGAACUCGGCAAAUUGACACCGUAACUUCGGAAGAAGGUGUGCCGUAGUAGCGUGAGAGGAGAGACACCUUGAGCGUGAAUCGGUCUCAGAGAAUAGGUGGCUGCGACUGUUUAUUAAAAACACAGCACUCUGCAAAGUCGAAAGACGACGUAUAGGGUGUGAUGCCUGCCCGGUGCUGGAAGAUUAAUUGAUGGGGUGAGAGCCCUUGAUCGAAGUCCCAGUAAACGGCGGCCGUAACUAUAACGGUCCUAAGGUAGCGAAAUUCCUUGUCGGGU
This 1931-nucleotide ribosomal RNA is filed under the name human gut metagenome. RNAcentral's name for it is "bacterial LSU rRNA". It matches the Rfam family "Bacterial large subunit ribosomal RNA", at positions 3 to 1977 of the family's 2925-position model. The record is from RNAcentral.